UGCAUCACUAAAACUUAGUUAACCAUUUAUAUUAGAAAAUUUAGUUUGCAUCAAAUGAAGGUAACUGCAUUAGCUAAUCAAACUCAGUGCAUCAAUAGAAAGAAAACUAAUUACAUUAGUUGUAAUUAGUUACAUCGGUAAUAAACCAUGUUACAUCUAAGUAAGCAAAUUCAUUGUAUUAGUAAAUACCACACCAGUAAAAAGAAGAGGAAAAAUUUACAGUGCACAAGAGGACAAAAAUACACAAAAAUAUCUGAUUGAAGACCUUCACAUGUUAAACAAUUUUUUUUCACGCGUUACUCCUCCAAAUUCCACUCACUUGCACAAAAUCAGAGAUCCUCUCUAACUAAUUUCUUCUCAUCCAAAUUUCCACCUGAUUUUUUUCUCUGGCCUCAAAUCUCGCUAUAUACACAUUUAUUGAGGUCUCUCAAAAGGAACCCAAUUUUCACAUUGUUACUCUAUUGAAAUUCUUUCCCAACCUUGUCAAAAGCUCAAUAUAUGCAAACUAUUCAAAGUUUCUUACCAAAACUCCGAAGUAGUCGAGAUAAGCCUUCCACAACAAGCGUUAACAACCACACAGAAGUUUCAGUAAGAGAAGAAUCAAAUGAGACGAAGAGAACAUAAGCGAGCAGAAACGGACGAGAAGAGAGGAAAGCAGUAAAGCAGAAAGUAAACUCACUUGAGGUAUUAUCUUCACCAUUGCUAGAAACUUGCCAGAGUUUCAGACUCUGGCAAGGCCUUUUUAUGUUGUUAUAUAUCAUUUCCUUGCUUGAUGGUCGUUAUUCUGUGGAUUAUGUGCCUCGAAUCAUAUUUAAUUGCUUGAGUUUUUUUAUGAUUGACUUGAUUUUGAAAACUAGGGUUUAGGCUUGGUUACUAUCCAAUUUGCUUAAACAUAUUGUUCGAUUGCUAAAUUUAUAAGGGAUUUGGGUUUAGGUUAUGGGUUUGGAUUUUUCUUGUGUUGACAUGAUUUUGGUUUGAAGCCGGUUUAAUAAGAUCUAGGUUCUUGAGGAAGAACACAUUUGUGUUCAUCCAUCAUGUUCACGACAGGGGGGCUUGUUUGAUACAUUUUGCUGAACCCUUGAUUUGCUUUUCGUUUUGUGAAAUAUGUGAGAGGAAGAGUCAUGGCCGAUGGAAGUUAAUACACACACACACAGAGAGAGGUCAGUUUUUGAGGGAGAGGGAAAAAAGAUGAUUUAUGAGUAAAGUGAGAGAGAUGGCAAAUUUUAUUAUUCUGGUUAUGACUAUUAUUAUUUGUCAUGUUUAAUAAUACAUUUCCAUGUGUAUCUGGUCAAAAGCAUUUGACAUCUUGUUGGAGAGGGUCAUUUUUUGAAAACCCUACUAUCAACAUUUAUUAUUGGGGUUUGAAUUGAUCAAUCAAUCAAUUCUUGCAGUUGUACACGCAUGGGAGGGGAGGCCAGUAGGGCCUUUUGAGCUUCCUCCGUUUUUUUUUCUUGUGGAGCUAGGGUUUGGAGUUGUGUUGGGCCAUGUUACAUUUCUCUUACACGAGGCCACACCUCUCCAGAUUGCUGCAUCCCCAACUGAACUCGAUUGGGUCCUUCUUGGCAGCCAGUCUUUUAUUUGUUUUUAAUUACCCUAUAUUUUCUUGUUCCUAUUUAUUAUUUCAUUUUUUUUUCAUAAUUGUUUUUACCUAUUAAUUAAAAUCUAUUAAUAUUAGCGGAUUAUGUUAAUUAAAUUAAAUUAGUUUGAUUAAAUAGUUGGAUUAAAUCUUCCAAAU
This 1735-nucleotide long non-coding RNA is filed under the name Lathyrus oleraceus (garden pea). RNAcentral's name for it is "Pisum sativum (pea) long non-coding RNA (PSAT_LNC017875)". The record is from RNAcentral. Lineage: Eukaryota; Viridiplantae; Streptophyta; Magnoliopsida; Fabales; Fabaceae.